GUCAAUUUUGUUGCUGACACAAUUGCAGAGUCUGUCUGAAUAUGGAUGGAAUUCCACUGAAUCUUCGUAGCGUCACUGCUGAAGGGCAUUUGCAAUGGAUUCAGAGACUGAGCGCUGAUUCAAAUUAAGUCCUGGCAAACACAGAAUAACUACUAGGAAUUAUUCUGUUCCUUGGGAAGAAUUUCCCAGGCUUUGUUCUUGAAGUCAUUAUUCCAGUUAAAGGGUUUGGAGGGGGGAAAGUUCUCCUUGCAAGAACCUGGGAACCCUUUAAGCAUUUGAAUAGUGCGAUGAAUUGAAUUCCUUUUGCAAGAGGAGUGCACUGGAAGAAUUCAGCACCUAAUCAAUUGGAGAAGCUGGACUUGGCUCAUCAUAAAGUCGUUGUAAAUGAGAACCAGUUGUUGAAAUGAAAUCAGAGAGACUAUCUUGCAAAUUGCUGCUGACUGUUUAUGCAUAUGUGAACAUAAGAACAUAAGAGGAGCCAUGUUGGAUCAGGCCAAUGGCCCAUCCAGUUCAACACUCUGUGUAACACAGUGGCCAAUGUUCUUAGUUAUAUAAAUCUGUGUAGUGUUCUAUAUGGUAAAAGGCUUCAAGUUAAAGAAAUUCUGUUGUAAAUUAAUUUGUCUUGCAAGUUUUGUUCCUGAUUUUAGACCCAUAUAACCAAUGCAAGGAAACUACUCAUGCAGGCAUAGUUUAUACAGGCAAGAAACAUGUUUGCUUCUCUCUUUCAGGCAUGCUGCCAUGCUAUUACUAGAAACACUGCACGCAUAAACCUCUUGGGACAAUCAUAUUGGAUGGGAUACUCAACUAACUUUUCUGGUUUGGGGGAGAUCUUUGAUGGGCAUGUAUUUGCUGAGUCCCUUUCUCUCCCCGUUGCUGCUUAUUUUGAUUUCUGCACACUAGGAAAAUAAAGCACUGAAAAGAGGCAGGUCGGAUGAUGUCAUGAAUGUUCAAAAUAAUUCAUAUUUGGAGCUUUAAUAAUAUUACAGAAUAGGUAUCCUUUGGUUCAAAUCUUGAUUCUUUAUUUGCUGGAUGCAUUUUCCA
Eublepharis macularius is the source of this 1041-nucleotide long non-coding RNA. RefSeq lists it as uncharacterized. The transcript is spliced from 3 exons. NCBI's taxonomy places the organism in Eukaryota, Metazoa, Chordata, Lepidosauria, Squamata, Eublepharidae. The record is from RefSeq and is a predicted model, not a curated record.